GUGCCAGCAGCCGCGGUAAUACAGAGGUCCCGAGCGUUGUUCGGAUUCACUGGGCGUAAAGGGUGCGUAGGCGGUCGGGUAAGUCUGAUGUGAAAUCUCCGGGCUCAACCCGGAAAUGGCAUUGGAUACUAUUCGGCUCGAGGUCUGGAGGGGGGACUGGAAUACUUGGUGUAGCAGUGAAAUGCGUAGAUAUCAAGUGGAACACCAGUGGCGAAGGCGAGUCCCUGGACAGAUCCUGACGCUGAGGCACGAAAGCUAGGGGAGCAAACAGGAUUAGAAACCCUGGUAGUCC
RNAcentral lists this ribosomal RNA (292 nucleotides) under uncultured bacterium. RNAcentral's name for it is "partial 16S ribosomal RNA". It matches the Rfam family "Bacterial small subunit ribosomal RNA", at positions 505 to 796 of the family's 1533-position model. The record is from RNAcentral.